UACAUGCAGCAUGCACAGGGUAGACCGCCCGCUGCCCGGACUGCCAAACUUGGAAAGUGUACACUGUCGUACAGUAUCUAUAAAUGUCAUCGAGAAAUCCCGAGCGUCAGACAGGGGGCUACUAUGCCUAUCACCGACCUGGCGGCUCACCACACUACGGCACAUACAGCCCUAGGCAGCGGACAGGCACAAUUAGCACGAUGCAGCUGAGCUCCGAGUACAACAAGAUAACAGAGACUUUCACUGCACGGCUGUGCAACACGCGUCUCCUGCUGAAAAGUACUGCUAAGGACCCAUAUUGCUUCUGAAUCUGCGGUUGCCUUCACAUCUCCUACCAACAGAGUUACCCCAUCAAGUUUUUUCAUAGAUGUCUUCAUAGGGUGGCCCAGACGCUCGCACGAUGCAAGAGUUCUCGCCAACUCCGAUCUCUUCAGAAUUGCUGAGGACAAGCUUGGUGGAUGGCUUUUCCCUAGAAAGAAAUCAGUGACUGUAGAUGGUGUGGACAUCCCGGUCUACCUCAUCGGGGAUGCAGCCUACUCUGUACAGCGCUGGCUGAUGAAGGACUACACCCAGCAUGGUCGUGAUGUUUCGACAAUCGAUGUUUGCCCAAUGUUCUAAAUUUUUACUUUUAAAAAAAAUGGUUUUGGGUUAUUUUUUUUUUGGGAAAGAAAACGUUUUGGUCAAUGUAUAAUUAAAUAUUACCAUAAUUCGAUCAUAAAA
Molecule: long non-coding RNA, 720 nt
Organism: Pseudophryne corroboree (corroboree frog)
Lineage: Eukaryota; Metazoa; Chordata; Amphibia; Anura; Myobatrachidae
Exons: 4
Source: RefSeq, a predicted model, not a curated record